RNAcentral lists this ribosomal RNA (496 nucleotides) under uncultured bacterium. Its description in RNAcentral is "bacterial SSU rRNA". It matches the Rfam family "Bacterial small subunit ribosomal RNA", at positions 28 to 521 of the family's 1533-position model. The record is from RNAcentral.
GAUGAACGCUAGCGGCAGGCUUAAUACAUGCAAGUCGAGGGGCAGCACGGUUAGCAAUAACUGGUGGCGACCGGCGCACGGGUGCGUAACACGUAUACAAUCUACCUUAAACAGGGGAUAGCCUUUCGAAAGAGAGAUUAAUACCCCGUAAUAAAUUGAACGGCAUCGUUUGAUUUUGAAAGCUCCGGCGGUUUGAGAUGAGUAUGCGUCUGAUUAGCUAGUUGGUGAGGUAACGGCUCACCAAGGCGACGAUCAGUAGGGGAUCUGAGAGGACUAACCCCCACACUGGUACUGAGACACGGACCAGACUCCUACGGGAGGCAGCAGUAAGGAAUAUUGGGCAAUGGGCGGAAGCCUGACCCAGCCACGCCGCGUGCAGGAAGACGGCCCUCUGGGUUGUAAACUGCUUUUAACUGGGAAGAAAGCAGCUCAUGCGUGAGAAUUUGACGGUACCAGUUGAAUAAGCCACGGCUAACUACGUGCCAGCAGCCGCGGU